GAGCGAUGUGGUCGUCUGGGUUGCCAGUGCCGUCAUACAUCUUUAUGUUGGGGAAGGAGAACUUUCUCAGCAUCUCGAUCAGAGCAAUUUUGUCUGUGAAAGGAGUAUCGGCGUAAGAACCGGGAUUACUUUUCCGAAUCGGAGGUGCCACCCUGGGGAGCCUUUCUACCAUAGAUUGCAUGGCGUCGAGCUUCUUGGAGAACAACUUCUCCAGGUAGGUGGUCAAUGAGGACUGCAAUGCCGCGGCUCCUUCAGAUGUUUCCUUCUCGAAGUCUGGCUCGGAGUCGCUGGAUAGUGUUUCAUGGACUCGCGUAUCUCCAGCUUUUUCUCCUGGUGCCCCGGCUUCAUCUGAAGGCUGUCGAGCGGCGCUUCUUGUUGCUUGCUGUGUUGAGGGCUUGAUUCUUGUCUCGGAGAACAAGGUUUUCAGAUUCGAGCUGAGUAAGCUUCUCAGCACUUUUCUCCAGCUGCUUCGAGUGUUUGUCUAGUUUUUCCUUUAAGCUCUGGAUUGCGGAGGAAAGCUCAGGGUUCUCGGUAGCUUCCCGAGCCUUGUGCAAGUCGGUUACCUGGCUUUGCAAUCCGUCGAGUUGCCUUUGUAGCUCGGC
RNAcentral lists this long non-coding RNA (602 nucleotides) under Brassica napus (rape). Its description in RNAcentral is "long non-coding RNA (BNAP_LNC009389)". Lineage: Eukaryota; Viridiplantae; Streptophyta; Magnoliopsida; Brassicales; Brassicaceae. The record is from RNAcentral.